This 508-nucleotide ribosomal RNA is filed under the name uncultured bacterium. Its description in RNAcentral is "partial 16S ribosomal RNA". It matches the Rfam family "Bacterial small subunit ribosomal RNA", at positions 30 to 523 of the family's 1533-position model. The record is from RNAcentral.
AUUGAACGCUGGCGGCAUGCCUUACACAUGCAAGUCGAACGGCAGCGGGGGAGAAGCUUGCUUUUCCUGCCGGCGAGUGGCGAACGGGUGAGUAAUACAUCGGAACGUGCCCUGUAGUGGGGGAUAACUAGUCGAAAGAUUAGCUAAUACCGCAUACGACCUGAGGGUGAAAGGGGGGGACCGCAAGGCCUCAUGCUAUAGGAGCGGCCGAUGUCUGAUUAGCUAGUUGGUGGGGUAAAGGCCUACCAAGGCGACGAUCAGUAGCUGGUCUGAGAGGACGAUCAGCCACACUGGGACUGAGACACGGCCCAGACUCCUACGGGAGGCGGCAGUGGGGAAUUUUGGACAAUGGGCGAAAGCCUGAUCCAGCAAUGCCGCGUGUGUGAAGAAGGCCUUCGGGUUGUAAAGCACUUUUGUCCGGAAAGAAAUAGCUCUGGUUAAUACCUGGGGUCGAUGACGGUACCGGAAGAAUAAGGACCGGCUAACUACGUGCCAGCCGCCGCAGUAA